AAAAGGAAUCAAGAUUUUGUUUGUGGAAAGAGAUUCCUGUAAUCUUCAAAGGUGCAAUGAAAAGCAAACACAUAGAUUGUUCAUGAAGAAGGAGAUAAGGUAGAAAAAUGAGUAGGGAAGAGAGGAAUCAAGAUAAUCUUUGAGCUCCAGGUAUCAUAUUGACAUGUGUCAGCAAAAGUAAUAAAAACUCAUCAUUAAGAAGAAAACUCAUUAUUAUUGAUUCAGCCAAAAAAAAAAAAAAGUAUAUUUACAACACAACCUACUAAACAUUAAAUAGGCAAAAACUAAAGUAAAAGAAAAAAAUGUAACCUAACUAACUUAACGAACUAAAAUGAUUAUAUUGUAUUGGGCAUUUGUAUUUUGGUAGUAACAAAUAAAAUAUUUAUUGUUGAAUUGAGAUUGUUGUGUUUGCUUGUGUUCCAUGUUAGUGUGUUCCAUGUUACAAUCAGAGGAAGAAGGAAGGUCGUUGCAACAAUGAUGUAUUUUAACAUAUUAUAUAUUUCUACUUCAAUAAAAUAUGAUGUAAGGGUUGUUGGCGAAGUGGUUAGAAUGAUGCCCCUUUAUUCCAAUAACUUCGGAUCAAUCAUAUGCGGUGCGUCCAAAAAUUUGUAAUUCAUUUUCCAAUUUUUCUAAUUUUCUAAAAAAAAAAAUUAUAAUAAAAAGUUAAUAAAAAUGACAUGAAAUUAAUUGUUACAAAUAUGGAAGUGACACAUCAUCAAUUGGUUUGUCAUAUCAUUAAAAUUUGACUUUAAAUUAGUAAGGGAACUAAAAUCCCGAGAAAAAAAAAUUAUAUUUAAGAAAAAAAAUAUGAAUUUAAAAAUAAAAGGAUCAAAAUAAAAUAAAAAUAAAAAUAGAAGGACCAAAGUUACAAUUAAGUCAAAAUUAAAAUACAGAACUGUUUUUAAAAAACUAAAUAUAAUUUUAUUAGAUAAAAAAUUAAAAUUAAAUUUAAAAUUAAAUUAUGGAUCAUGCUAGAGCAUUGGUUAAGAAUUCAUAAUAAA
RNAcentral lists this long non-coding RNA (1001 nucleotides) under Lathyrus oleraceus (garden pea). Its description in RNAcentral is "Pisum sativum (pea) long non-coding RNA (PSAT_LNC003157)". The record is from RNAcentral. Lineage: Eukaryota; Viridiplantae; Streptophyta; Magnoliopsida; Fabales; Fabaceae.